This 27-nucleotide non-coding RNA is filed under the name Trypanosoma brucei brucei. The record is from RNAcentral. Lineage: Eukaryota; Euglenozoa; Kinetoplastea; Trypanosomatida; Trypanosomatidae.
AAUAACAGUGGUAGGUAGAUGUAAGAU